ACGGGUGAGUAACGCGUGGGAACGUACCUUUUGGUUCGGAACAACACAGGGAAACUUGUGCUAAUACCGGAUAAGCCCUUACGGGGAAAGAUUUAUCGCCGAAAGAUCGGCCCGCGUCUGAUUAGCUAGUUGGUGAGGUAAUGGCUCACCAAGGCGACGAUCAGUAGCUGGUCUGAGAGGAUGAUCAGCCACAUUGGGACUGAGACACGGCCCAAACUCCUACGGGAGGCAGCAGUGGGGAAUAUUGGACAAUGGGCGCAAGCCUGAUCCAGCCAUGCCGCGUGAGUGAUGAAGGCCCUAGGGUUGUAAAGCUCUUUUGUGCGGGAAGAUAAUGACGGUACCGCAAGAAUAAGCCCCGGCUAACUUCGUGCCAGCAGCCGCGGUAAUACGAAGGGGGCUAGCGUUGCUCGGAAUCACUGGGCGUAAAGGGUGCGUAGGCGGGUCUUUAAGUCAGGGGUGAAAUCCUGGAGCUCAACUCCAGAACUGCCUUUGAUACUGAAGAUCUUGAGUUCGGGAGAGGUGAGUGGAACUGCGAGUGUAGAGGUGAAAUUCGUAGAUAUUCGCAAGAACACCAGUGGCGAAGGCGGCUCACUGGCCCGAUACUGACGCUGAGGCACGAAAGCGUGGGGAGCAAACAGGAU
Molecule: ribosomal RNA, 641 nt
Filed under: Afipia sp. I15B-00867
Lineage: Bacteria; Pseudomonadati; Pseudomonadota; Alphaproteobacteria; Hyphomicrobiales; Nitrobacteraceae
Description: bacterial SSU rRNA
Rfam family: Bacterial small subunit ribosomal RNA
Source: RNAcentral